UUGAGUACAAACUAAAGCAGCAUAACACCCAUACCUGUCACAAUCUUUGUUUUGGAGCUAGCACACAUUUUUGGUUCAUCUUUAUCACAAUGCUCUCUGCUUUUGAACUGAACUACUGGCGUAAGGUGUUUUGUGUCUCCAUAACAACCACUUUAUGCAGUUUUGUGCUAUAGACUGCAGCCCAAAUAGAGCGUGAGUAAAAGGGACAAAUAUAAGGUGCAAUGCUGUAACCAAUCACAGUGAGAGAGAGAAAAAAAAGGGAAAAAAAUUACUGCAAAAAAAAAAAAAAGUUAACAAAAAUAAAACUUACUGCAAUAUAAAUAAUAAAUAAAUAAAUGAAUAAAAUGAAUAAAUUAUUGUUAAGGUCCUUACACACCAGGAGCGUUUUUUUGUGUGAUUAUUUCGGACGUCAAUGUUUUUUCUCGAACCUGUAUCCUGUCAAUACAGUCUGCUGUUGUGUCAGUCUUCUCGCUUCCACCCGGGAUGCGUCUUUUUUUUCUCCGAAAAGUUGCAAGAUCUCGUUGUGCUUGAUGUGUAUAGUCUGGCGCAUCAAAAUUUUCCUCCGUAUAUUUCGUAAUUUCGCAUUGUAUAUUUGCGUCGAUCCCGGUGUGUAAGGACCUUUAAUCUCAAGUUUUUUUUAUAUGUAUAGUAUUUAACUGGAUAAUCUGUAUUAAAUGGGAGAUUAUGUGAAACAGAACCUUGACAUGGUGAGACAAGACGCUGAAAUGAAGAAAACAAUAUUCAGAUUUGAUGUUUUUUGCUUUACAAACAGAACUUCCUUUGCACCUUUUAACCUCAAAACCCCCAACAGGUUCUGUUACAUUUCACUGUGAUGUUCAGGUUAUCUAAACUGGUUCACAUUCUUGAGGAGAAACCCCAGGUCCAAGACGGCGCCACACCAGGGGACCUGAAUGCAGGGCUGAAUAAAAAGAUGAGAGGCCUGCUGGGAAUCUCUGAAGAGGAGAUGGAGAUAGAUGUGAGCAGAUUCAAUCUUCGUUUGCUGCCGUUGGCUCCCAGCAGGGUGUCAAAAUAGUCUGGAUUCAAAAGGGAAUCCUUUUUUUUCUGAAACUCCAGGCACAUUUGCUAAAGAAAAAAAAAACUGUAUUACUUGUAAUUGACAGAGCUAGGAUUGACAGCUGUUGAGGGUUUAAUAAUUUAAAACUCGAGCCGGUUUUCAUUUUAGACAAAAGAACAUGGCAACAGAAAGUAAAACAUGAUUUCCAACAGCAGAGUAACACUUUUCUUUUUAGACAAAUUAUAAAAUAUUUUCAGGACAACUAAAUUUAAUCUUCUUACCAAAUUUAUUCAACAGGUAUAAUCUUGUCUUUUGGCUGGUGGUGCAGUGUUAGCUUUUAUCUCUAUCUGUAGUCUAUUUAGUGAACAUUCACUUUAUUCUAUUUCUGCUUAAGAGGAUUUCUGCACUUUGAUUGAAAACCCACAGAAAAAAAGACACCACUGAUGUAGUAUAUUUAUUCAAAUUUAACAAUCUUUUAUCCUUAUAACCUCUGACAACUCUUUGAAAGGAAAAAGAAAGGCCUUGGCCCCAUCACAAGACAUGCAAAUCUUUUUGGGGGCCCUCUCCCACAAGACACAAUAACCAUCCAUAGAUGUGACCCCACUCGGCAGAGGCCCCCAUGCUGCCCCUGCAUGAGGGCCUCUCAAUGAACCGUGCAAUAAGAAAUGGAGCAAAGAGGCCUGCGCUGGGAGAGAGCCCACAUAUUUGCUCGUAUUCAGGAGGAGGCCAUGAGCCUCAGCUCGGCUUGGUGACAUCUUGUCAUCA
Non-coding RNA from Xyrichtys novacula (pearly razorfish), 1780 nucleotides. The record is from the annotation of a GenBank genome assembly. NCBI's taxonomy places the organism in Eukaryota, Metazoa, Chordata, Actinopteri, Labriformes, Labridae.